AAAUACAGUCCUUCACUUGAUGACUACUGCCAGCUUUGGAAGUCCUGGGAAAGAACAAGAAGUCAAUUGACAAAUGCUGAGUGUUGUGCAUUCUGGAAGUGUGUUAUGAAGCACGGCAGCUCAAAAAUAGCAAAAGCUCUGCUUGAUGACUUGGAAAAGCUGCCUGUUGUUUCAUGCUCCGGUGAAAUCUUCUUGUUCGACAAGCGUGACGUUUUUAUAGCAGAUGACCUUCAACUGAAGGAUCUGUUUGAGAAGUUUUCAACCCAGCCAAUAUUUGUCUGGUAUCCUCAGCCAAGCGUGGCUUCUUUACCCCGCAGCUCUUUGUUUGAAGUGUACAGAAGAACUGGGAUCCGGACAAUUUCUGAAUCUGUACAGAUGAAAGAACUCUCCUUAGAAAAUGGCAUGGAACUAAAGCAGGUGAAUCCGAGUGGUAUUUUUAUUGGCAAAGAACUGGUUAGACUCAUUCUUGGCUUCUUAGCAAAUCCUUCUUUCGAUAUGGAAGCAAUGAAGAGGCAUGAAGCUGUGAAGUGCCUUCUUAAUCUCACUGUCUUGGAGACUGAGGAGCCAAUAAACGUGAGCUACAGUUUAUCACUCUCCUCUGGUGUACCCGUGAAUGUAAGAGCUAGCCAAUUGGUACGGUGGGACAGAGAGAGUUGUAAAUUUUUCACACGGACGAUUGACUAUGCUGGUGGACAGAAAAAUCUCAUUGAAUAUGCAACAUAUUUCUCAGAGGCAAUAGCUGAGGGAGUUUUAUGGGAGCAUGAAGAUCACGUAUUUGCAUUGGCCGAGCUGAUUAAGUUGGCUUUCCUGCUAACUUUUGAUGAAGAAGCAAUUCAAUUUUUGAUGAAAUCCAGGAAUUUGCAAAUUUUCAUGGAGGACGAGGUAUUCUUGUCUGAUGCCUUCCCCUCUGUCUAGGCUAUUAUGGACCCUUAUAUUUCAGCUACUCUCUCUCUUUUGCUUUAUUUUAGCACCAGCCUCUCUGCAUGACUAAAAUAUUACUAUGUUUGUGUAUUUGUCAUGUGAGAUGGUGAAUGCUAUUGGUUUGGAGUAUGUAAACCUUAGUGCUAGUUUUUCAUUUGCUUUGCAGUGGUUUGAUGUAAUAACUAGUGUGUAUUGUAAUUUGUAAGAAUGGAUCAUUUGAAAUAUUUCUCUCAAAGAAAGAACACUAAAAUGUUACGACAUUGAAAUGGGCUACCACGAUAAGAUAAAUAUUUGGCAAGUUUCAAGCCCAAAUGUAGAAACCCCAAGCCCAAAGAUGUAUGCCCCAGCCACAAAGUGUGUAAAUACUUAGGGCAUUUUAGAAUACUUCCACUCAAAGAUAUUUUGUGAAAAUAUCUCACCUACUCUAGAAUGCUCCAUGUAAUCUCCACCGUAUAUUUUUGUAAGCAAAUCUUAGCCGUACGUUGAGGAGGUGAAAAUGCCCAUAAAUACCACCCCUCCUCUCAUUUGUAAAAAACCAGUAAGCAAUCAUUUCCUUAAGUUUUGUGAAUAUUUGCUUCUUAUUAAUAUAAUUAUAUUUGGUGUUUUGUAUUAGUAUUAUUUUGGUUGUCUUUCCCGUUAUUAUUCUUGGUGUUAUAAAUUAUUAAUCAAUCUUGGAGUUUAUCACUACACUGAUAUCCAACGGAUGGUAUCGGAGCAUUAAUCCCAACAGAAACUGGUGCUGCAAUAAAUUAAAAGCUCAGGUCAGCAUACAAUGAAAGCGGUGAUCUUGCUCUUUCUAAUCAAAGAUGAAAUGAAGUUUCAAUCAUUCACUUAUGCAGCCAAAUACCAAUAUAAGCCAUUGCUAAUUAGUAUUCUAGUUCUUCUCCUUCAAGACAAAAUAGCACUGGUCUUUUUUAGCUAGAAAUAAAAACAGAAACACACAAAUGAAUUUAAGUUUUUUUUUUUUUUUAAAAAAAAAACACCAGGUGUUGCCUUUUUUUUUUUAAAAAAAAAAAGCUGCAACUCGUGAUGUUGUAUCGUAAAAAGUUUACCUCCUUAGCUGAUAGGAGUAAUUUCGCAAUGAAGAUUGUGCAAGACGAAUCCUUUGCAAGAGCUGCUCCAUUAUUACACAUACAAACAAAUAAUCAUAAUAUAAAAACCACAUCCUUAGUUGCUAAUUAACUAUUUUAAAGAUCUCAUUUAACCAAAACAUAAUUUAAAUUACUGAAACAGAGGAGCCUUCACAACCCAUUCUUUCCCUCGUAAGCCCCCACAUUGUCUUCAUCUUUGCUUUGUCAGUGACUGUAACUCCUCUCUAAACAAAAACAACAAUUAGAACAGACAUCAGCAUCGAAGUACAGAACCACGUCGUUUACGAAACUAUAUUUGAUACAUUUUGAUCAAAGUAGCUUACAAGGAAAAAAGAAUUCUCCGCUAGAUGAAAGUAAAAAAUAUUUUCCGGGAAAGUAAAAUGAAAGCUAUGUAACGAAAUCUGGCGAAAUGGCAAUAGAGUAGUACUAAUUGGGCUCGAGAUUCGGCUGAAGCGAUUCUGAUGGGCUAACAAAGAGGAGAGACCGUUAACCCGCCGCGAAAAUAUCUGCGCCCCGCCAUUAAUUCGACGAUUCAUUUAUUUAUUUUUUCAAUCCAUUAGAAGGUCUUGGAUUGGUCAUGGGCUACCCAUAAACCCGCUUAGUCCAUCAAAAGUUUCUCUGUAUAAAUGAACUGGAUUUUGAUUUAUUUGUUUCUCUUAAUAAAUUAUUUUUCUUUUUCUUUUUCUUUUUGGUACUACUAUGGGAAAAUUAUCUAAUACUGUUGUUUUUUUUUUUUUUUUUUCCAGCUGUUAUCUUUAGAAAUUUUAAAAACUGUAUUCAUAAAUUCAUAUGAUAAAUAGUACUAUUUUAAAUGUAAACAUAAAUUUACAUUCUGUGUGUGUUGUAUGGAUGUGCAUUCACAUAUUAAUAUGAAGCGACGCAGUGAUCCUGCUGGAGCCAAAAUGAAGAGAAGCUGAUUGGCGAGCCCAACAGAAGGAAAAUAAUGCCAGCACUGCUGUGAUAUUCUAUUUCCUAGAAUCUUAGCCAUUGGUUUCUCAUUGUAACUCCACCACCGUUGAACGCUUUUCUUUUUGGUGUUCGCCUAAAGGUUUAUUUUUCUCUAAUUAAGUCAAUGUCAAUUGGGUCAAUCGCUUUUCUACUUUGUCUCCUUCCUUAGCAAGUUACCUUCUCCGCGAAGCAGUCUUCACUUGACUAGCUCACUAACACUAAACUACACUCUUCUGCAAACCACCAUUUUAUUUUCUUCUCUCUCGCUCUCUCAAUCUCUGGUUUUGCUUAGUUCUGUUUGCAAUGGCGACUCCUCGUGAUCACAUCGAGCAUCUUAGGAAGACGUGGUUCUCCAUCGGAGGACCAGAGAAUCCACUGGCUACCAUGCUUGACAAGGCUGUUAAAUACCUCUCUGAUGAACUCUAUACUAAGGAUGUCCACUAUUUUAUGGAACUCAUACAGGUUUUUUACGCUACUACUCUUUCCUCUCUAUCUAUUUUCCUAAAUAUGACACAAUGCUAAUGGAUGUGACCGUUUCACCUCUGUUAUGUUGUUUGUUUUGCCUUUCCCCCGUUUUUGUUGGCAUGUACUAUGGAAGGAUGCAUUGGUUUUUUUUUUUUCUUUUUCUUUUUGUUAGCGUUCUGAUUUUUCAACUGAUUCAGACUUCGAAAUUUUGAUCGUUCAUUAUUAUGUCAAUAUCGAUUGAGCAGUGUGUUCUGUAUAAAUGAAUUUGAAGUAUAGAGUUCCGUUUAGAUAUUUUGCAAAAAGCGUUGAAUUAAAUUUUCCUCCGCAGAAUGCAGAGGACAAUGAGUAUCCGGAAAGGAUAGAUCCUUCGCUUGAGUUUGUCAUAACAUCGCGGGAUAUAACAGCCACGGGUGCUCCUGCAACAUUACUGAUAUUCAAUAAUGAGAAAGGAUUUUCUCCUAAAAAUAUAGAGUCUAUUUGCAAUGUUGGAAAUUCCACUAAACAAGGCCACAGGAAACGCGGUUAUAUCGGGGAGAAAGGUACUUAUUCAUUUAUUUCUCUUUAAAUUUUAUAGAUAUGCUGUCCAAUUCUGUCAUAUAUGAGAAUGAGAACCUGUCAUGGAGAUCAUAUCAUUUAUUGGCAUUUCCAAGUUUCUCUCUAAACUUGCACAUCUUUUUCUGCUCUCUUGUUGUCAGUUGGGCUUAAGAAAUGCUAUAAAGUAUGUCUCCAAAGUUGAGAUAACAAACUUUCUUUUUGGUUGAUCAACAGGAAUUGGGUUCAAGAGUGUGUUUCUUAUCAGUGCUCAACCUCACAUUUUCAGUAAUGGCUAUCAGAUACGCUUCAAUGAAAAGCCUUGUCCAUACUGCAAACUUGGAUACAUAGUUCCUGAAUGGGUUGAGGAGAACCCAUCUCUCUCUGAUAUAAAACAAAUUUAUGGUUCUGGUCCCUCCAUUCCUACUACAACAAUAGUCUUGCCUUUGAAGCUUGACAAGAUGAAAGCUGUGAAGCAGCAACUCUCAAACAUUCAUCCUGAAGUCCUGUUAUUCCUUUCCAAGAUAAAGCGCCUUUCUGUGAGAGAGGAUAAUGAGGAUCCGCGGCUCAAUACUAUUAAAGCUAUAGCUAUUACAAAAGAGACCAAUUUUGUGACAAGGAAGAAUAUUGAUGCUGAAUCCUACACGCUCUAUCUGUCAGCAGAGGAAACUGGCGAUGCCUCCAAUGAAGAAUGCAGCUACUAUGUCUGGAAGCAGAAGCUUCCUGUCAGACAGGAAAAUAAAGUUGAUAGGAGAAUGGAAGUGGAGGAGUGGGUGAUCACUUUGGCAUUUCCUAAUGGAGAGCGUCUGCAUAGGGGAACAAGCUCACCUGGGGUUUAUGCGUUUCUUCCUACAGAGAUGGUUACGAAUUUCCCAUUCAUAAUUCAAGCUGAUUUUCUUCUAGCAUCAUCAAGAGAAACAAUACUUUUGGACAAUAUAUGGAAUCAAGGAAUUCUUGACUGUGUGCCCUUUGCUUUCAUUAAUGCAUUAAACUCGCUUGUCAAAACUACAGAAGACGCACCUGCUUCUAGUUUGCCCCCAAUGUUUAAGUUCCUUCCAGUCAGCAGCUCUCCUUAUCCAAGGUUGAAUGCUGUCAGGGAGUCGAUCAAAGCAAAACUGGCUGAAGAAAAUAUUGUUCCAAGUGAAUCGUACACGGAGCAGAAGUUCUUUCAUAAACCAUGCGAAGUUCGUAGAAUAAUGCCUGAAUUCUGGAAUAUUUUGAAGAUGGCAAGGAAUCAAGGAGUGAGCUUGCAUAAUCUUUCCUCCCAUGGUUGGUAUGUUCUGAAUUCUUCGUUUGACCAACCAGAGUAUGAUGAAAUACUGAAUUUUCUAGGAGUAGGAUCAGUGAACAAUGAAUGGUAUGCUAAGUGUAUCCAGGGCUCUAAUCUCAUAAUGGGAGUCUCCGAGGAAACUUAUUUGGAGAUUCUUGCCUUCCUUGCUGACAAUUGGCAGUCCAAGUUUCGCUACACUGAGGUUCUAAACAUUCCAAUUAUAAAAUAUGAAGGUAAAGACGGGGGUGUAUGUUUGUGCACUAUUAAUGAAUCAGCAAAAAGUAGGUUGUUACUGUGCUUAUCUGAUGUGUUUGGUCAAGCAUCACGGUUGAUUGAUUGGAACAGAGAAUUCAGAUGCGUGGCAAAUUUGUUUUUUAUGCCAUUAAGUACACAAGAAGCCAUCAGGGUAUGUUCCAAACGGCGAUUGGUGUGGGACUGGUUCAUAAAUCAUGUGAAUCUUAAAGCUUACAAUGUAUAUCAGUAUGCAUCUGUACUCUGUAAACAUGUUAGUGGUGACCGGAAGCUUGUCAUUGCCUAUGCUCUCUUUUUAUAUAGCUCAUUCUCCUGCAAGUAUCUGUCAAAGACAGAGGUGGAUGAUUUGUGUCGUAUUAUGCCUCUUGUAGAUAACUAUGGGACUGUGACCAAAAGUUGGAGUGCGGUUCUUGUGCCAGCUAAUGGAAGCAAAUGGGUGCAGUUGAUUGGUUCAAAUCCCUGGAGAACAGAGGGUUAUAUUGAGUUGGGAGAAGACUAUUCAUGCCCUGGAUCUUACGUUGGUCAAAGAGCCACCGGGAACCAACUCAUAGAGUUCCUGAAAGCUCAUCUUGGUGCUGCUGAUAUUCCUUAUAUAUCUCCACCCAAUGCAGGAAUUCCUACUGUGUCUUCACCACUAACCAAGCAGAACGCAUUCUUGCUGUUGGAUUGGAUUCAAAACCUGAAAUAUAGCAGAAGUCGCAUGCCAGAGAGGUUCUUAACUUGCAUAAAGGAUGGUAGCUGGCUGAGAAUAACUAUGAAUGGCUGUUCUGGAUAUAAACCACCAUCACAGUCUUUCCUGCUCAAGUCAAAUAGCGGAAACUCAGACUGGGGAAAUAUCAUGCAGAAUGCAGCUGUCCUUGUUGACAUUCCAUUAAUUGAUCAGAACUUUUAUGGUGAGAAAAUUUUCUCAUACAGGGAAGAGCUAAAAACAGUUGGAGUCAUGUUUGAUUAUGAAGAAGCCUGUGAAUUUGUUGCGAAACGUCUCAUGUCUCUUGCAGCUUCAUGGUCCUUAAGUAGAAGCAAUGUGAUCUCGAUGCUGAAUUUUAUUAAAUUUCUGAGGGAACGUUUUCUUUCUCCAGAGAAAUUCAUCCAUAGUGUCAGGGAAGGAAGAUGGCUACAAACAUCCUGUGGUCAAAGAUCUCCGGUUGGAUCUGUCCUGUAUGAUCAGGAAUGGGCAAUUGCAAAGCAGCUAAGUGACAUCCCCUUCAUCGAUCAACAGUAUUAUGGGGAUGAAAUUGUUCGUUUCAAAACAGAACUUCAGUUGCUUGGCGUCAUAGUUGGCUUCAAUGGAAAUUACAAGCUGGUCAUUGACCACCUGAAAUCUCCUUUAUGGUCAGCAUGUCUAACUUCUGAAGCUUUGGUUUUGGCAAUGGAUUGCAUGCGCCAUUGUGGGCCUGUGGACAAACUUGUUAGCGCAUGUAAAAAUACAAAUUGCUUGAAGACCAAUCUUGGUUAUAAGGCCCCGGGUGAAUGUUUUUUGUUUGAUCCUGAAUGGGGUUGCCUUCUAGAGGUUUUUGGUGGUUUCCCAUUGAUUGAUCAUAGUUUCUAUGGAAGCAGAAUCAACUCUUACAAAACACAGUUGAAGCAACUGGGAGUAAAGGUAGAAUUUGAGGGGGCUGUGCGAGUCUUUGUGUUAAAAUUUAAGCAGCUGGGGUCAAAGUUUUCCAUUCAGACGAACAAUGUUCUUUCAUUUCUAUCGUGCUACAGAAAGCUAAAAGGUACUUAUGAAUUUCCUUCAGAUCUGGAAAGUUGCAUCCGUGAAGUGCAGUGGUUAAAAACCCGGCUUGGUGAUUAUCGAUCUCCACAAGGAUGCGUUCUGUAUGGAGCUGAGUGGGAGUCCAUCUCUCCAAUUACUCUCCUUCCCCAUAUUGAUGACAGCGUCAAUUGUUAUGGAAAGGCCAUUCAUGAAUAUAAAGAGGAACUGAAGAGCAUGGGCGUUAUUGUUAAAUUUAAAGAUGGUUUGGAGCUUGUGGUUUCUGCUCUUCAUUUUCCCCGGAAUCCUAGCACCAUAACUCCUUCAAAUGUUUUUUCGUUGCUGGAAUGCAUUCAGAUACUAUUGCAACGGGGUGACCCCUUGCCAGAGGCUUUUCUGAAAAAAGCUUCUCAAAAAUGGUUAAAGACCCAUGCUGGUUACAGAACUCCAGACGAGUGCUGCUUGUUUGAUUCGGAAUGGGAUUUAUUUGUGAAGCGGACUGAUGGUCCUUUCAUUGAUGAAGAUUUUUAUGGUUCCAACAUCACAUCAUACAAAAGAGAGCUCAGCGCCAUAGGAGUUGUCGUUGAUGCAGAGAGGGCAUGCUCAUUGCUCGCCAGUUACUUGGGUUCCCAUUCUGAAUCGACCACCAUAGUUCGAAUAUAUGAUUUCUUGAAUAAAUAUAACUGGAAGCCAGGUACUGAAGCAGCUUGCAAGAUAUGGAUUCCAUGCGGAAGUAAAGUGGGAAUAUGGGCUGAUCCACCAAACUGUGUUCUACAUGAUAAAGAUGGUCUCUUUGGUGGUCGGUUGUUUGUUCUUGAGAAAUACUAUGAAAAGGGGUUGCUUGAUUUUUUUCCCAAGAGUUUUGGUGUUAAAUACAGUCCUUCACUUGAUGACUACUGCAAGCUUUGGAAGUCCUGGGAAAGAACAAGAUGUCAAUUGACACAUGCUGAGUGUUGUGCAUUCUGGAAGUGUGUUAUGAAGCACGGCGGCUCAAAAAUAGCAAAAGCUCUGCUUGAUGACUUGGCAAAGCUGCCUGUUGUUUCAUGCUCCGGUGAAAUCUUCUUGUUCGACAAGCGUGACGUUUUUAUAGCAGAUGACCUUCAACUGAAGGAGCUUUUUGAGAAGUUUUCAACCCAACCAAUAUUUGUCUGGUAUCCUCAGCCAAGCGUGGCUUCUUUACCCCGCAGCUCUUUGUUUGAAGUGUACAGAAGAACUGGGAUCCGGACAAUUUCUGAAU
RNAcentral lists this long non-coding RNA (8408 nucleotides) under Jatropha curcas. RNAcentral's name for it is "long non-coding RNA (JCUR_LNC003255)". The record is from RNAcentral. Lineage: Eukaryota; Viridiplantae; Streptophyta; Magnoliopsida; Malpighiales; Euphorbiaceae.